UGGGUUUGCCAGAACUCUUGAGUGUGGAUA
Molecule: non-coding RNA, 30 nt
Filed under: Mus musculus (house mouse)
Lineage: Eukaryota; Metazoa; Chordata; Mammalia; Rodentia; Muridae
Source: RNAcentral